Molecule: ribosomal RNA, 468 nt
Filed under: uncultured bacterium
Lineage: Bacteria
Description: partial 16S ribosomal RNA
Rfam family: Bacterial small subunit ribosomal RNA
Source: RNAcentral
GACGAACGCUGGCGGCGUGCUUAACACAUGCAAGUCGAACGGAAAGGCCCUGCUUUUGUGGGGUGCUCGAGUGGCGAACGGGUGAGUAACACGUGAGUAACCUGCCCUUGACUUUGGGAUAACUUCAGGAAACUGGGGCUAAUACCGGAUAGGAGCUCCUGCUGCAUGGUGGGGGUUGGAAAGUUUCGGCGGGUUGGGUUGGACGCGCGGCUUAUCAGCUUGUUGGUGGGGUAGUGGCUUACCAAGGCUUUGACGGGUAGCCGGCCUGAGAGGGUGACCGGCCACAUUGGGACUGAGAUACGGCCCAGACUCCUACGGGAGGCAGCAGUGGGGAAUAUUGCACAAUGGGCGGAAGCCUGAUGCAGCAACGCCGCGUGCGGGAUGACGGCCUUCGGGUUGUAAACCGCUUUCGCCUGUGACGAAGCGUGAGUGACGGUAAUGGGUAAAGAAGCACCGGCUAACUACGUG